UUCUUCGUCCCUCAUCUCCAUGCUUCUUCACAUCUCUCUCAGAUUCACACAGGUCAUUUUGGGGUGGAGUUAUUGAAGGGGUCGUUUGCACACUAAUAUGGUAAAUGUCGGAAGGAUCCAUGCCACACAUCAGGUGUGGGCCACGGUGCAUAUGCACUGGUGUGGAGAUCAAUAAGAUCCAUUCAUCAGGUGGUCCGGUCCGCAUGUAAAUGUAGAAUGUUGAGCUUCUUAUACUUGCGUGGCCCAUCUGAUAAUCAAAUGGGCCUGAUAUUUUGUUGUGGGCAUUUUUGUGAUGGGACCCACCUUACAAAUGGCUACUGAAUCAUCCUAGAAUUUCUCAUUAGUAUUCUCAAUACUACUGCUGGGGAUGCAAAUGGACUGGAUUGUUCAGGCCCAGUUUGCUUUCGUCCUAAUUCGGGUUUGAGCCUACAGGCCUGAUAAAUGAUUGAUCCUGGCCUGGCCUUGAUUCAACAGGCCCUACAGGAUGGCCGUACAGUAUGGCCCAGUCAGAUCUAACGCUAAAAUGAAAACUGUACAAUUUUUGAGAUCUAACAAGAAAAUAAGAUAAAGAAUUGUUGUAAAAAAAAGAAAAAAAAGAUUAGAAUUGUCACAAAAUGCAUGCUUUUCAUAGACCUCAAAAUCUUAUUGGGGUUUGCUUAUGUUUGCUCCAGGAUCUCUAGUCCCAUUUUAUAGAGUUGACAGGCCCCAUUUGCAGUGUAUAAUGUCUGGGUUUCAACUUCUGAUUGUGAAAUGACCCUCUUUGAUUUGGCAAUGGAAAAGAAGAAGCCAUCUUGUUUAGAUGUCUGAAGCAUUCCACCAAUUAGUUGCAGUUUUUAUAUCAGAUAAUAUUGUACUGACACAAAUCUGGAUUCAUUUCAUCAGGAAGCUUUUAGUCAAUAUCUGCAUAUGCAUGAAUUGUUUAACUAGGUACAUCAAGUCUAAAUUUGGAGAGCAUUGAACACUCUGCUUACUUGGAUGUGUUUACACAAACACAUAAGAUUCCUAGGAAUCUGAAGAUGACUAAGUAACCUUCUGGCUUUUACUUUCGUAAGAACAAUUGAAUGUGUUUAGGGAUUUUCUGCAUGUCCACUGCAUCCUUUUAUAAUAAUCACUAUUACAUUAAUGUUUUUCAGCUUAUUGCAUGUUUUGUGUUUGCAGGUAGUACAGGGACUAUUUCGCGCAUUUGUUGGAGUAUCUAGUAUCUUUUUUCAUGCGGACAGAACCCUUGCAAGACCUGGAUAGAAAUUUUCAAAAGCAUGCAACAUGCGUUUUUUCUUCAUUGCCUAAAAUUGUUCAUUUGAAGAGUGUCUGCCAAGGCAUGGCGCUGAAUUCAUUGCAGCGCCCCCAUUUUAUGAUUAUACCCAUCCAAAAUAUGGUAUUCUCAAUCUUGCCACAAAGCUUCCUAAGGGUUGCUUGAAGCCUGACCUAGGACCCAAAACAUACAUUGCGUAUGGAUCCUGCAAGGAGCUUGGGAGAGGUGAUUCAAUGACGAAACUGCAUUGUGAUGUCUGAU
This is a long non-coding RNA of Magnolia sinica, 1513 nucleotides long. RefSeq lists it as uncharacterized. Lineage: Eukaryota; Viridiplantae; Streptophyta; Magnoliopsida; Magnoliales; Magnoliaceae. The record is from RefSeq and is a predicted model, not a curated record. The transcript has 3 exons.